This 254-nucleotide ribosomal RNA is filed under the name uncultured bacterium. Its description in RNAcentral is "partial 16S ribosomal RNA". It matches the Rfam family "Bacterial small subunit ribosomal RNA", at positions 524 to 776 of the family's 1533-position model. The record is from RNAcentral.
UACGUAGGGGGCGAGCGUUGUCCGGAUUUAUUGGGCGUAAAGAGCUCGUAGGCGGUUUGGUAAGUUGGAUGUGAAAUCUCCAGGCUCAACUUGGAGGGGUCAUUCGAUACUGCCAUGACUAGAGUUCGGUAGGGGAGUGUGGAAUUCCUGGUGGAGCGGUGAAAUGCGCAGAUAUCGUAAGGAAGACCAGUGGCGAAGGCGGGUCUCUGGACAGUUCCUGACGCUGAGGCACGAAGGUCAGGGGAGCAAACGGG